UUUGAACGCUGGCGGCAGGCCUAACACAUGCAAGUCGAGCGGAUGAUGGGAGCUUGCUCCCGGAUUCAGCGGCGGACGGGUGAGUAAUGCCUAGGAAUCUGCCUGGUAGUGGGGGACAACGUUUCGAAAGGAACGCUACUACCGCAUACGUCCUACGGGAGAAAGCAGGGGACCUUCGGGCCUUGCGCUAUCAGAUGAGCCUAGGUCGGAUUAGCUAGUUGGUGGGGUAAAGGCCUACCAAGGCGACGAUCCGUAACUGGUCUGAGAGGAUGAUCAGUCACACUGGAACUGAGACACGGUCCAGACUCCUACGGGAGGCAGCAGUGGGGAAUAUUGGACAAUGGGCGAAAGCCUGAUCCAGCCAUGCCGCGUGUGUGAAGAAGGUCUUCGGAUUGUAAAGCACUUUAAGUUGGGAGGAAGGGCAGUAAGUUAAUACCUUGCUGUUUUGACGUUACCAACAGAAUAAGCACCGGCUAACUUCGUGCCAGCAGCCGCGGUAAUACGAAGGGUGCAAGCGUUAAUCGGAAUUACUGGGCGUAAAGCGCGCGUAGGUGGUUUGGUAAGAUGGAUGUGAAAUCCCCGGGCUCAACCUGGGAACUGCAUCCAUAACUGCCUGACUAGAGUACGGUAGAGGGUGGUGGAAUUUCCUGUGUAGCGGUGAAAUGCGUAGAUAUAGGAAGGAACACCAGUGGCGAAGGCG
RNAcentral lists this ribosomal RNA (700 nucleotides) under uncultured Pseudomonas sp. Its description in RNAcentral is "bacterial SSU rRNA". It matches the Rfam family "Bacterial small subunit ribosomal RNA", at positions 28 to 723 of the family's 1533-position model. The record is from RNAcentral. Lineage: Bacteria; Pseudomonadati; Pseudomonadota; Gammaproteobacteria; Pseudomonadales; Pseudomonadaceae.